RNAcentral lists this ribosomal RNA (347 nucleotides) under Schizohelea leucopeza. RNAcentral describes it as "partial 16S ribosomal RNA". The record is from RNAcentral. Lineage: Eukaryota; Metazoa; Arthropoda; Insecta; Diptera; Ceratopogonidae.
CAUAAUUAUUUGUUUUUUAAUUAAAAACUUGUAUGAAUGGUUUAAUAAGAUAUAAAUUGUUUCUGAAUAAUAAAAAUGAAUUUUGAUUUUUAGUAAAAAUUCUAAAAUAUUUUUAAAAGACGAGAAGACCCUAUAAAUCUUUAUUUUUAGAAUUUAUAUUAAUUAAGUUUUAAAUUUUUUAUAAAAUAUAUAAAAAUUUAAUUGGGGUGAUUAUGAAAUUUAAUAAACUUUUAUUUAUAUAUAAUAAAUUCAUUAAAUUUUAUAUCCAAUAAAUUUGAAUUAAAAUUAAGUUACUUUAGGGAUAACAGCGUAAUAAUUUUAAAGAGUUCUUAUCGAUAAAAUUGAUU